Fistulifera solaris is the source of this 71-nucleotide transfer RNA. It matches the Rfam family "tRNA". From Rfam's summary of the family: Transfer RNA (tRNA) molecules are approximately 80 nucleotides in length. Their secondary structure includes four short double-helical elements and three loops (D, anti-codon, and T loops). Lineage: Eukaryota; Bacillariophyta; Bacillariophyceae; Naviculales; Stauroneidaceae. The record is from Rfam.
GCACCGUUGGUUUAAUGGCAAAAUUCGACGUUGCCAUCGUCGAGCUCCGAGUUCGAUUCUCGGACGGUGCA